UACGUAGGGUGCAAGCGUUGUCCGGAAUUAUUGGGCGUAAAGAGCUCGUAGGCGGUUUGUUGCGUCGGCUGUGAAAUCCCGAGGCUCAACCUCGGGUCUGCAGUCGAUACGAGCAAACUAGAGUGUUGCAGGGGAGACUGGAAUUCCUGGUGUAGCGGUGAAAUGCGUAGAUAUCUGGAGGAACACCGGUGGCGAAGGCGGUUUCCUGGCCGAGUACUGACGCUGAGGCACGAAAGCGUGGGGAGCGAACGGG
Molecule: ribosomal RNA, 253 nt
Filed under: uncultured bacterium
Lineage: Bacteria
Description: partial 16S ribosomal RNA
Rfam family: Bacterial small subunit ribosomal RNA
Source: RNAcentral